RNAcentral lists this ribosomal RNA (835 nucleotides) under human gut metagenome. RNAcentral's name for it is "bacterial SSU rRNA". It matches the Rfam family "Bacterial small subunit ribosomal RNA", at positions 362 to 1198 of the family's 1533-position model. The record is from RNAcentral.
UAUUGGUCAAUGGCCGAGAGGCUGAACCAGCCAAGUCGCGUGAAGGAAGAAGGAUCUAUGGUUUGUAAACUUCUUUUAUAGGGGAAUAAAGUGGAGGACGUGUCCUUUUUUGUAUGUACCCUAUGAAUAAGCAUCGGCUAACUCCGUGCCAGCAGCCGCGGUAAUACGGAGGAUGCGAGCGUUAUCCGGAUUUAUUGGGUUUAAAGGGUGCGUAGGUGGUGAUUUAAGUCAGCGGUGAAAGUUUGUGGCUCAACCAUAAAAUUGCCGUUGAAACUGGGUUACUUGAGUGUGUUUGAGGUAGGCGGAAUGCGUGGUGUAGCGGUGAAAUGCAUAGAUAUCACGCAGAACUCCAAUUGCGAAGGCAGCUUACUAAACCAUAACUGACACUGAAGCACGAAAGCGUGGGUAUCAAACAGGAUUAGAUACCCUGGUAGUCCACGCAGUAAACGAUGAUUACUAGGAGUUUGCGAUACAAUGUAAGCUCUACAGCGAAAGCGUUAAGUAAUCCACCUGGGGAGUACGCCGGCAACGGUGAAACUCAAAGGAAUUGACGGGGGCCCGCACAAGCGGAGGAACAUGUGGUUUAAUUCGAUGAUACGCGAGGAACCUUACCCGGGUUUGAACGUAGUCAGACCGGCCUUGAAAGAGGUCUUCUAGCAAUAGCUGAUUACGAGGUGCUGCAUGGUUGUCGUCAGCUCGUGCCGUGAGGUGUCGGCUUAAGUGCCAUAACGAGCGCAACCCUUAUCACUAGUUACUAACAGGUGAAGCUGAGGACUCUGGUGAGACUGCCAGCGUAAGCUGUGAGGAAGGUGGGGAUGACGUCAAAUCAGCACGG